CGACGAUCAGUAGCGGGUCUGAGAGGAUGAUCCGCCACACUGGGACUGAGACACGGCCCAGACUCCUACGGGAGGCAGCAGUGGGGAAUUUUGGACAAUGGGCGCAAGCCUGAUCCAGCCAUGCCGCGUGUCUGAAGAAGGCCUUCGGGUUGUAAAGGACUUUUGUCAGGGAAGAAAAGGCUGUUGCUAAUAUCGACAGCUGAUGACGGUACCUGAAGAAUAAGCACCGGCUAACUACGUGCCAGCAGCCGCGAUAAUACGUAGGGUGCGAGCGUUAAUCGGAAUUACUGGGCGUAAAGCGAGCGCAGACGGUUACUUAAGCAGGAUGUGAAAUCCCCGGGCUCAACCUGGGAACUGCGUUCUGAACUGGGUGACUAGAGUGUGUCAGAGGGAGGUAGAAUUCCACGUGUAGCAGUGAAAUGCGUAGGGAUGUGGAGGAAUACCGAUGGCGAAGGCAGCCUCCUGGGAUAACACUGACGUUCAUGCUCGAAAGCGUGGGUAGCAAACAGGAUUAGAUACCCUGGUAGUCCACGCCCUAAACGAUGUCAAUUAGCUGUUGGGCAACUUGAUUGCUUAGUAGCGUAGCUAACGCGUGAAAUUGACCGCCUGGGGAGUACGGUCGCAAGAUUAAAACUCAAAGGAAUUGACGG
Molecule: ribosomal RNA, 650 nt
Filed under: uncultured bacterium
Lineage: Bacteria
Description: bacterial SSU rRNA
Rfam family: Bacterial small subunit ribosomal RNA
Source: RNAcentral